AUUGAACGCUGGCGGCGUGCUUAACACAUGCAAGUCGAACGCGAAAGGGACUUCGGUCCUGAGUAAGUGGCGCACGGGUGAGUAACGCGUGGAUAAUCUGCCCUUAUGAUCGGGAUACAGUUGGAACGGCUGCUAAUACCGGAUACGCUCAAAAUGAACUUUUUUGAGGAAAGAUGGCCUCUGCUUGCAUGCUAUCACGUAAGGAUGAGUCCGCGUCCAUUAGCUUGUGACGGGUAACGGCCACCAAGGCAACGAUGGGUAGCCGAUUUGAGAGGAUGAUCGGCCACGCUGGAACUGAAACACGGUCCAGACUCCUACGGGAGGCAGCAGUGGGGAAUAUUGCGCAAUGGGCGAAAGCCUGACGCAGCGACGCCGCGUGAGGGAUGAAAAGGUUUUCGGAUCGUAAACCUCUGUCAGAAGGGAAGAAACUACGUUGUGCUAAUCAGCAGCGUACUGACGGUACCCUCAAAGGAAGCACCGGCUAACUCCGUGCCAGCAGCUGC
RNAcentral lists this ribosomal RNA (503 nucleotides) under uncultured bacterium. RNAcentral's name for it is "bacterial SSU rRNA". It matches the Rfam family "Bacterial small subunit ribosomal RNA", at positions 30 to 518 of the family's 1533-position model. The record is from RNAcentral.